AUAUAGUGUAGAGUGACUUAUAGGGAAAGGAAGGGAGCAUUAAAAACUUUAAAAUCUUAAAGCUUAAAUUAAGCUUUAAGAUUUCUUAAAGUUUAAAUUUAAGCUUUAAUUAAUAAUUCAGAGGAAAGAUAGUAUUCCGGGACCCGGGUCGAAGCUCUGCGGAUGCACGAGAAAUGAAAAGGAGUUGUUGACCCGCCCGAUUGUGUCUCAUCGCCAUUGAUGACUUGUCCGCUGCUAUACGAAUGUAAAAUGAAGUAAAGUGAAAAUGCGUUUAAAAAAAGUUUAAAGCUUUCCUCUUAGAAGUUUGUACCUUUGGUACAGUCUUUCUUUUUUUUUUGCGCUGUGUGUUUUACGGAAUUUUUUUAAGAGAACGAAAUGUUUAAUAUUGACUAACGGCGCCUUAAAGAUAAUCUAACAGGUUUUUUUGUAUACAUGCCUCUACUUUGGAAUGUUCUUCUCGGAUGUCUCAAUUCACGUAGUCCUCGUUCAGAAAUGAACAACCCUGAUCACUUGUGCGGCAACGAAGUGGAUAAGUUGCAGACGACACAAACAUAUUUUACAGUAAUCAAGACCUUUACUUUCUCAUGGAUAUUGUAAACAAAGAACUCAAAUCUGUCGCGAUCUGGUUUAAUGCCAAUAAACUAACUCUUCAUCCUGA
This is a long non-coding RNA of Nematostella vectensis (starlet sea anemone), 658 nucleotides long. RefSeq lists it as uncharacterized. The record is from RefSeq and is a predicted model, not a curated record. NCBI's taxonomy places the organism in Eukaryota, Metazoa, Cnidaria, Anthozoa, Actiniaria, Edwardsiidae. The transcript is spliced from 2 exons.